RNAcentral lists this ribosomal RNA (250 nucleotides) under uncultured prokaryote. RNAcentral describes it as "partial 16S ribosomal RNA". It matches the Rfam family "Bacterial small subunit ribosomal RNA", at positions 524 to 773 of the family's 1533-position model. The record is from RNAcentral.
UACGUAGGGGGCAAGCGUUGUCCGGAAUCAUUGGGCGUAAAGCGCGUGUAGGCGGCUCGGUAAGUCCGCUCUGAAAGCCCAGGGCUCAACCCUGGGAUGCGGGUGGAUACUGCCGAGCUCGAGUCCGGAAGAGGCGAGUGGAAUUCCUGGUGUAGCGGUGAAAUGCGCAGAUAUCAGGAGGAACACCGAUGGCGAAGGCAGCUCGCUGGGACGUGACUGACGCUGAGACGCGAAAGCGUGGGGAGCAAAC